GGUUUUAUAGUUUAAAAAAAAUUUAAGAGUGCAAAUCUUAAGAUGCUAUAAGAGCUAAAAUCU
RNAcentral lists this transfer RNA (63 nucleotides) under Lepidurus arcticus. RNAcentral's name for it is "tRNA-Cys". The record is from RNAcentral. Lineage: Eukaryota; Metazoa; Arthropoda; Branchiopoda; Notostraca; Triopsidae.